Gigantopelta aegis is the source of this 1785-nucleotide long non-coding RNA. RefSeq lists it as uncharacterized. The transcript has 2 exons. The record is from RefSeq and is a predicted model, not a curated record. Lineage: Eukaryota; Metazoa; Mollusca; Gastropoda; Neomphalida; Peltospiridae.
AGUCGAUAUCUGGAUUUAAAGGAUAUUUCCUGGUUUUAACAUCACAGACUCUGCUUUCACUCUGUUGUAACUUUAUUCAAAUGUGUUAGAUUUGUAGAUUAACUAAACUUAGUGUCCAUUUUUACAAGUUAAGACCAGAGUCUUCACCUUUAAGAUAUCAGCUUUAUUCUGCGAAGGUAAGAAUGGCAAAUGCUACCAGGUCUGAAGGAAAUUAAUAUUUGAAACAAGGAAGUUUUAGCUGAAAGUAACCGAAGAACAGCCAUCUUUAUCUUUAAUUUGUUAUGGUAACCAUAUGUGUGCCGUGACAAAAUGGUGAUACAAACAUGUCUAAUUAUCACACAGUACAAAUCUUACAGAUCUUGUGUAAAAAAAACAUUAAAGACAACAACAACAACAAAAAUAUGCAGAUACAAUUUCUGCAACACAAAAUGAGACUUGGAAAUUAAUAAAGGCACUUUUUUCUAGACAGCAAAACAUGAGGCUGUUUGCACACAAAAAAAAAAUAUAUUACAGACAUUUAAAAAAAAGUCUGUACAAAGAUAAAUAUUAGUUUUGAUGACAUUUGACAAUAAAUGUGUUAAUUAUUGACACUACAGUCCCACAUGUGUACACUUUGUAAAGUUCACUCCAUACAUUGCACAACCAUGCGGAAAAAUUAAAAUGGAAAUACAUGUAUAUAUAUUUUUGAAUUGUUACUGCAGUUUUAGAUUAUGUUUAUAAGUUAAUCAGUUUGUUACUCUCGGUAAGAAUAAGAAAGCUACCCUUACAAUAAUUGUUUCUUUUUUCUUUUCUUUCAUUUUAAAAUCUAAUCACACCCCAAAAUCAAAUAUGCAAUAAAUAUAAAAAUAAUGUGACUACCGAUAUACAAUUUUGAUUACUGGCAAUUAUUUCUGUCUCUUUGCAAAUAAACGGCGGCUUACCGGCUUAUUUUCUGUAUUUUAACACCUAUUUCACUAGGUUUACUUAUUUUCUGUAUUUUAACACCCAUUUCACUAGGUUUACUUAUUUUCUGUAUUUUAACACCUACUUCACUAGGUUUACCUUGAAAGUCACUUACUAUGGGUUUUCACAAUUAAAACUCUUCACAUACAUGGUAUAUCUUUUUAAUCCUUAAAACAUGCUAAUUUUGAUUUGUUAAAUUUCAGAAAUUAAACGCCUAAAAGAACUCAAUAAGAUCAAAUGAAACAGAGAUGGCAAAACACAAACAGGAGUUGGGUGUGAUAGUGGUGAGCUUUGUUUACUAUUAGUAAUUCAGUCCACCCAAUUCUGGUCCGUCCUGCCUGCCUGCCCCCCCCCCCCCCCCCCCCCCCCCAUCUUGAUAUAUUUCUGACAUUUCCGAAAAAACAAGUAUGGGUGGAUUUUCGAUGGUUUAAGCCUAAAUUACACUACACGACAUGAUGCAAUUGCCAGCUGAGUCAAGUUGCAUUACAUACACCACAUUGUAACCUAGAUUUCAGGAUAUAUAUCACUUACAGCAACCUUUAACUCUCAUCCUCGUAACUAAACCACAAGACCUAUCAACCUGUCAAAAUGAUUGAAGAGUUUUAAAAAAAAAACUGAACCCCUCUCUCAACAAAUAUGCGUACAAUAUUCAGCAAGCAGUUAAAAUAAAAAAUGUAUAUAGCUAAAUUUUAAGGCACAAAAAUAAGUUCAUAUAAGCUGACAAUAUUUAUAUAUAUAUAAAAAAUAAUUUAAAUUAAUCGACAUGACUGAAUACAAUAUAUAUAUAUAUAUACACCAUAUUAUAAAGUAGAUUAAAUUAAACUUCAAGUAUUAAAAAAAAAA